This 305-nucleotide unclassified non-coding RNA is filed under the name plant metagenome. Its description in RNAcentral is "partial contains 5.8S ribosomal RNA, internal transcribed spacer 2, and large subunit ribosomal RNA". The stretch from base 1 to 105 matches the Rfam family "5.8S ribosomal RNA", at positions 50 to 154 of the family's 154-position model. The record is from RNAcentral.
GAAAUGCGAUAAGUAGUGUGAAUUGCAGAAUUCAGUGAAUCAUCGAAUCUUUGAACGCACAUUGCGCCCCUUGGUAUUCCAUGGGGCAUGCCUGUUCGAGCGUCAUCUACACCCUCAAGCUCUGCUUGGUGUUGGGCGUCUGUCCCGCCCCCGCGCGUGGACUCGCCCCAAAUCCAUUGGCAGCGUUCCUUGCCCCCUCUCGCGCAGCACAUUGCGCUUCUCGAGGGCGGCUCCGGGACGCGAUCCAGCAAGAUGACCACCGUCUUUGACCUCGGAUCAGGUAGGGAUACACGCUGAACUUAAGC